RNAcentral lists this ribosomal RNA (254 nucleotides) under uncultured bacterium. Its description in RNAcentral is "partial 16S ribosomal RNA". It matches the Rfam family "Bacterial small subunit ribosomal RNA", at positions 524 to 776 of the family's 1533-position model. The record is from RNAcentral.
UACGUAGGCAGCGAGCGUUGUUCGGAGUUACUGGGCGUAAAGGGUGUGUAGGCGGUUUUCUAAGUUUGGUGUGAAAUCUCCCGGCUUAACCGGGAGGGUGCGCCGAAAACUGGGAGACUAGAGUGCGGGAUGGGAGAGUAGAAUUCCUGGUGUAGCGGUGAAAUGCGUAGAUAUCAGGAGGAAUACCGGUGGUGUAGACGGCUCUCUGGACCGCAACUGACGCUGAGACACGAAAAGCGUGGGUAGCAAACAGG